This 253-nucleotide ribosomal RNA is filed under the name uncultured bacterium. RNAcentral describes it as "partial 16S ribosomal RNA". It matches the Rfam family "Bacterial small subunit ribosomal RNA", at positions 524 to 776 of the family's 1533-position model. The record is from RNAcentral.
UACGGAGGGUGCGAGCGUUAAUCGGAAUUACUGGGCGUAAAGCGCACGCAGGCGGUUUGUUAAGCUAGAUGUGAAGGCCCCGGGCUCAACCUGGGAUGGUCAUUUAGAACUGGCAGACUAGAGUCUUGGAGAGGGGAGUGGAAUUCCAGGUGUAGCGGUGAAAUGCGUAGAUAUCUGGAGGAACAUCAGUGGCGAAGGCGACUCCCUGGCCAAAGACUGACGCUCAUGUGCGAAAGUGUGGGUAGCGAACAGG